RNAcentral lists this ribosomal RNA (581 nucleotides) under uncultured bacterium. RNAcentral's name for it is "bacterial SSU rRNA". It matches the Rfam family "Bacterial small subunit ribosomal RNA", at positions 331 to 929 of the family's 1533-position model. The record is from RNAcentral.
CCAGACUCCUACGGGAGGCAGCAGUGGGGAAUAUUGGACAAUGGACCGAGAGUCUGAUCCAGCAAUUCUGUGUGCACGAUGAAGUUUUUCGGAAUGUAAAGUGCUUUCAGUUGGGAAGAAAAAAAUGACGGUACCAACAGAAGAAGUGACGGCUAAAUACGUGCCAGCAGCCGCGGUAAUACGUAUGUCACGAGCGUUAUCCGGAUUUAUUGGGCGUAAAGCGCGUCUAGGUGGUUAUGUAAGUCUGAUGUGAAAAUGCAGGGCUCAACUCUGUAUUGCGUUGGAAACUGUAUAACUAGAGUACUGGAGAGGUAAGCGGAACUACAAGUGUAGAGGUGAAAUUCGUAGAUAUUUGUAGGAAUGCCGAUGGGGAAGCCAGCUUACUGGACAGAUACUGACGCUAAAGCGCGAAAGCGUGGGUAGCAAACAGGAUUAGAUACCCUGGUAGUCCACGCUGUAAACGAUGAUUACUAGGUGUUGGGGGUCGAACCUCAGCGCCCAAGCAAACGCGAUAAGUAAUCCGCCUGGGGAGUACGUACGCAAGUAUGAAACUCAAAGGAAUUGACGGGGGCCCGCACAAG